RNAcentral lists this long non-coding RNA (472 nucleotides) under Dermacentor andersoni. RNAcentral's name for it is "uncharacterized LOC126548628". Lineage: Eukaryota; Metazoa; Arthropoda; Arachnida; Ixodida; Ixodidae. The record is from RNAcentral.
CUCGCGGCCUUGCCGGAAUAUGACACGGUUAUGACAUCACGCAGCGCGCGGUGAUAACGUGGCUACUUGGUUGUGUUCGACGUUCGAGUAUAUAAGAGGGAACUCGGAGCUAUUGGAGCACAGAGUCGAGAGCUGCACGAGCCGAGACGCCACAUUCACUCAUCAUGAACGCCGUCGCUAUCCUCGCUACUUUUGCCCUCCUUGUGGCUGUUGCCAGCGCUGGCUUCGUCGGUGGCUGUGGCGGCCUAGGAUAUGGCGGACACGUCCUUGGAUAUGGCGGACACGUCCUUGGAUAUGGUGGUCAUGGCUUUGUCCACGGAGCGGGCUUCGGCGGACACGGUUAUGGCCUGGGGCAUCUUGGCUACGGCUAUGGUGGCUACGGCCUGGGACACGCCGGCCACGGACUCGGCUACGGCUAUGGACUCCACCUGGGAUACAAGCACUAGACAAAAAUAAACAAGCAAAACGUCAA